This is a long non-coding RNA of Anguilla rostrata (American eel), 874 nucleotides long. RefSeq lists it as uncharacterized. The transcript has 3 exons. The record is from RefSeq and is a predicted model, not a curated record. NCBI's taxonomy places the organism in Eukaryota, Metazoa, Chordata, Actinopteri, Anguilliformes, Anguillidae.
AAUUAUUGAUGUUUUAUAGUUUUGGAGUUUUUAGGUGCAGUUGUGUUAAAGUUUUGUUAAUUGAAUCCCUUAUUUGUCAUAUUGCCAACACAUCUGUGUUUUGAAACAUUUCUGAGCAGUGUGUUUCUGUGUGUGUGUGUGUGUAUGUGUGUAUUUGCGUAUGUGUGCGCAUUUGUGUGUGUGUGUAUGAAUACAUGUGUGCGUGUGUGUACGUGUGUGGAUGUGUGUGGGUGCAUGUACACGUGUGUGUGUGCAUAUGUGUUUGUGUGUGCGUGUGUGUGUAUGUGCAGGAGAAUACUACUGUGAGGCAGAGAAUGGGACUGAGACAGACAUCACUCCUCCUAACGGUCUUGAUGUGCAGUAUCCUCCGAAGAGUGUCUCAGUGUCAGUGAGCCCCUCUGGUGAAAUAGUGGAGGGCAGUUCAGUGACUCUGACCUGCAUGAAUAAUGCCAACCCACCAGUGCAGAAAUACACCUGGUAUAAGAAUAGAGCUGAACUCUCAUGGAGAGGAUCCAGUUACACCAUUAAAAGCAUCACACUGCAGAAUGCAGGAGAAUACUACUGUGCGGCACAGAAUGUGAUUGGGAGAAACACAUCUCCUCUUAUACGUCUUGAUGUGCAAUAUCCUCCGAAGAGCGUCUCAGUAUCAGUGAGCCCCUCUGGUGAAAUAGUGGAGGGCAGUGCAGUGACUCUGACCUGCAUGAAUAAUGCCAACCCACCAGUGCAGAAAUACACCUGGUAUAAGAAUAGAGCUGAACUCUCAUGGACAGGAUCCAGUUACACCAUUAAAAGCAUCACACUGCAGGAUGCAGGAGAAUACUACUGUGCGGCACAGAAUGUGAUUGGGACAGAACAAUCUCCUCCUAAACGUCUA